GACGAACGCUGGCGGCGUGCUUAACACAUGCAAGUCGCACGAAGUGGCGAACGGGUGAGUAACGCGUAAUCAACCUGCCCUUCAGAGGGGGACAACAGUUGGAAACGACUGCUAAUACCGCAUACUGAAGGAGGGGAUUGCGUCUGAUUAGCUAGUUGGAGGGGUAACGGCCAACCAAGGCGAUGAUCAGUAGCCGGUCUGAGAGGCUGAUCAGCCACACUGGGACUGAGACACGGCCCAGACUCCUACGGGAGGCAGCAGUGGGGAAUCUUCCGAAAUGGGCGAAAGGCUGACGGAGCAACGCCGCGUGAGUGAUGACGGCCUUCGGGUUGUAAAGCUCUGUUAAUCGGGACGCGGUACCGGAAUAGAAAGCCACGGCUAACUACGUGCCAGCAGCCGCGGUAAUUC
This 408-nucleotide ribosomal RNA is filed under the name uncultured bacterium. Its description in RNAcentral is "partial 16S ribosomal RNA". It matches the Rfam family "Bacterial small subunit ribosomal RNA", at positions 28 to 526 of the family's 1533-position model. The record is from RNAcentral.